AACGAACGCUGGCGGCAUGCCUAACACAUGCAAGUCGAACGAGACCUUCGGGUCUAGUGGCGCACGGGUGCGUAACGCGUGGGAACCUGCCCUUAGGUUCGGAAUAACUCCCCGAAAGGGGUGCUAAUACCGGAUAAUGUCUUCGGACCAAAGAUUUAUCGCCUUUGGAUGGGCCCGCGUUGGAUUAGCUAGUUGGUAGGGUAAAAGCCUACCAAGGCGACGAUCCAUAGCUGGUCUGAGAGGAUGAUCAGCCACACUGGGACUGAGACACGGCCCAGACCCCUACGGGAGGCAGCGGUGGGGAAUUUGGGACAAGGGGCGAAAGCCUGAUCCAGAAAUGCCGCGUGAGUGAUUAAGGCCUUGGGGUUUUAAAGCUUUUUUCCCCGGGAUGAUAAUGACAGUACCGGGAGAAUAAGCCCCGGCUAACUCCGU
Molecule: ribosomal RNA, 432 nt
Filed under: uncultured bacterium
Lineage: Bacteria
Description: partial 16S ribosomal RNA
Rfam family: Bacterial small subunit ribosomal RNA
Source: RNAcentral